This 349-nucleotide unclassified non-coding RNA is filed under the name soil metagenome. RNAcentral describes it as "partial contains 5.8S ribosomal RNA, internal transcribed spacer 2, and large subunit ribosomal RNA". The stretch from base 1 to 119 matches the Rfam family "5.8S ribosomal RNA", at positions 35 to 154 of the family's 154-position model. The record is from RNAcentral.
GAUGAAGAACGUAGCGAAAUGCGAUAAGUAAUGCGAAUUGCAGAAUCCGUGAGUCAUCGAAUCUUUGAACGCACAUUGCGCCCUCUGGUAUUCCGGAGGGUAUGCCUGUUCGAGCGUCAUUAUCACCCCUCAAGCCCGGCUUGUUGUUGGAUGCAGCGCUUAUCCCGCUCCUCCCAAAGAUAAUGACGGCGUCUGCGACGACUCCUGUACACUGAGCUUUCGGGCACGUACACGGCUAGAAGUCCAGACCCGGUCGCCGUCCCCCCCGCGGGGACACCCAUUACCACAAGGUUGACCUCGGAUCAGGUAGGAAUACCCGCUGAACUUAAGCAUAUCAAUAAGCGGAGGA